ACUCCUACGGGAGGCAGCAGUGGGGAAUAUUUGGACAAUGGGCGAAAGCCUGAUCCAGCAAUGCCGCGUGAGUGAUGGAAGGCCUUAGGGUUGUAAAGCUCUUUUACCAGGGAUGAUAAUGACAGUACCUGGAGAAAUAAAGNUCCCCGGCUAACUCCGUGCCAGCAGCCGCGGUAAUACGGAGGGAGCUAGCGUUGUUCGGAAUUUACUGGGCGUAAAGCGCGCGUAGGCGGUCUAUUAAGUCAGA
This 247-nucleotide ribosomal RNA is filed under the name uncultured bacterium. Its description in RNAcentral is "partial 16S ribosomal RNA". It matches the Rfam family "Bacterial small subunit ribosomal RNA", at positions 335 to 592 of the family's 1533-position model. The record is from RNAcentral.